This 186-nucleotide ribosomal RNA is filed under the name Listeria monocytogenes. Its description in RNAcentral is "partial 16S ribosomal RNA". It matches the Rfam family "Bacterial small subunit ribosomal RNA", at positions 1 to 178 of the family's 1533-position model. The record is from RNAcentral. Lineage: Bacteria; Bacillati; Bacillota; Bacilli; Caryophanales; Listeriaceae.
UAUUUUAAAGAGAGUUUGAUCCUGGCUCAGGACGAACGCUGGCGGCGUGCCUAAUACAUGCAAGUCGAACGAACGGAGGAAGAGCUUGCUCUUCCAAUGUUAGUGGCGGACGGGUGAGUAACACGUGGGCAACCUGCCUGUAAGUUGGGGAUAACUCCGGGAAACCGGGGCUAAUACCGAAUGAUA